UCCCGUUGAUCCUGCGGGAGGUUGCUGCUAUUAGGGUUCGACUAAGCCAUGCAAGCCAUGGGACCCGCAAGGGGACCGGCAAACUGCUCAGUAACACGUCGAUAAUCUGCCUUCGGGUCUGGGACAACCUUGGGAAACUGAGGCUAAACCCGGAUAGAGGAUUUGUCCUGGAACGGUUUAUCCUCCGAAAAGUAAUGCCCGAAGAUGGGUCGGCGGCUGAUUAGGUAGUUGGUGAGGUAAUGGCCCACCAAGCCUUAGAUCAGUAGGGGCCUUGAGAGAGGGAGCCCCGAGAAGGGCACUGAGAUACUGGCCCUAGCCCUACGGUGCAGCAGGCGCGGAAACUCUACAAUGCACGAAAGUGUGAUAGGGGAACCCUAAGUGCCUAUGUUUUACAUAGGCUUUUAUCAAGAGUAAAUAUCUUGGUGAAUAAGUGGUGGGUAAGACUGGUGCCAGCAGCCGCGGUAACCCCAGCGCCACAAGUGGCAGCCACAAUUAUUGGGCCUAAAGCGUCCGUAGCCGGUUCUGUAAAUCCUUUGUGAAAUCAUCAUGCUCAACAUGAUGGCGUGCAGGGGACACUGCAGGACUUGGGACCGGGAGGAGUCAGGGGUAUUCCAGGGGUAGCGGUAAAAUGUUAUAAUCCUUGGAGGACCACCUGUGGCGAAGGCGCCUGACUAGAACGGAUUCGACGGUGAGGGACGAAAGCUAGGGGAGCGAACCGGAUUAGAUACCCGAGUAGUCCUAGCUGUAAACGCUGCGAGCUAGGUGUUGCGUAUUCUUAGAGAGUACGCAGUGUCGAAGCGAAGGUGUUAAGCUCGCCGCCUGGGAAGUAUGGUCGCAAGGCUGAAACUUAAAGGAAUUGGCGGGGGAGCACCACAAGGGGUGCGGCGUGCGGUUUAAUCUAAUUCAACGCAGAGCAUCUCACCAGGAGCGACGGCAGGAUGAAAGUCAGGUUAAAGGCCUUUCUUGACGAGCCGAGAGGUAGUGCAUGGCCGUCGUCAGCUCGUGCCGUAAGGUGUCCUGUUAAGUCAGGUAACGAGCGAGACCUGUAUCUACAAUUGCCAGCGAACGGUUUCCGGGAUCGGGCACAUUGUAGGGACUGCCCUCGAAAGGGGGAGGAAGGCGCAGGCCACGGUAGGUCUGUAUGCUCCGAAUCUUCUGGGCUACACGCGCGCAACAAUGGUAAGGACAAUGGGAUACGACUCCGAAAGGAGAAGUCAAGCCUCUAAACCUUAUCCAAGUCCAGAUUGAGGGUUGUAACUCACCCUCAUGACAUUGGAAUCCCUAGUAAUCGGAUCUCAUCACAGUCCGGUGAAUAUGUCCCUGCUCCUUGCACACACCGCCCGUCAAACCAACCGAGCAGGGUCUAGAUGAGGCAUGGUUUCUUGAUCAUGUCGAAUCUUGACUCAGUGAGGUGGGUUAAGUCGUCACAAGGUA
Molecule: ribosomal RNA, 1434 nt
Filed under: metagenome
Description: bacterial SSU rRNA
Rfam family: Archaeal small subunit ribosomal RNA
Source: RNAcentral